UGUCCACUCCUGGAGCGUAAACAGCACAUUAUAAAACUCAGUAUUUAGCAAACCAAAACCACACAGUAGCCAUGGGCACCAAUUCAUUUGUUGAGCUGGGCAAACAAACAGUGAAAGUUGACAGAGAAGAUAGUGAGUGUGAAAAGAAGACCAGAGGGAUCUCUGCUUAUAGCGUAAGGCGCCACUCGAUGGAGUUCAGGCCAUUCUCCAUGGGCAGAGAGAUGUUGCAGCGCCCAAUGGUGGGGGUGAUGGUGCCCGCUAGGACGUGGGGCUCGCUGUGGAAGCUGACGCCCAUCCCGUUGGCGUACAUCACCCGCAGGGUACCGUUGUUGCAGAGCUGGUAGCUGUUCCGCACUUGAUCUGGAGAAAUAGGCUGAUGGUCUACCAUAGGUUAGCUCCACUGCAAAUCAAGUCUAGGAUUCUUUGAGAAAACAAAGAGAAAAAGCAACCUUCCUGCCCCUCAUGCAUUCGCUGCUGACUCCACCGUGAUGCCAUCUCCACUCCAGAGGACUCUGAAGAGACUCAACUAGCACGAGGGAGACCGAGCCAGUGGGUGCUGAUAACGUACGUGUGUGUCUUCCCAAAUGGAAUCUACGCUAGUCAAUCAGACUUCUGACCUUUUCCUUUAUCGAAAAGUUCCAGGUAGGAAAUGUGAGUCGGAGACUCCUUUUAUAGAUACGAUGCUUCCUGAUUAUUUGGGCAGAGGAGUCCAGCUGGCCUGGCCUCUGAGGCGCUGGCUUUUGGGGUAGUGUGCACCGGUCACGACCGCAGCCAUCGUGCAGAAGGACAAAAUCUACAUCAUUAAUCAUCUGGCAGAGCAGAAACAGAGUCAUGGAAACAGGCUCUGUCGUGGGAUAAAUAGUCCAGCAAUGACACCAUUUAUCUACUGAGAGGACACGUUUAUCCUCGGCCAGUGGGCUAGCCCACUGACAUUAUAUCUUCAUUACCUGCGCAAUUCCUUUUCUUGCCAGUCUGUGUGCUCUUGUCCUGGACUGUAUGUCAUGUCGAACAGCAAGAGUAACCACGAGGUGGUCAGAAACCUUUGAGGUCUUGGCAAGGGACUGCUAAAAGGCUCUGUGACUGUAACAAACAACCCACUCAUCACACAAACGCUUGGAAGAAAGGGAGAAUCAGAAUGGGACCAAAAAAAAGGUGGGCUCA
Molecule: long non-coding RNA, 1161 nt
Organism: Balaenoptera acutorostrata (minke whale)
Lineage: Eukaryota; Metazoa; Chordata; Mammalia; Artiodactyla; Balaenopteridae
Exons: 3
Source: RefSeq, a predicted model, not a curated record